AUGUAUAAUAUAUUUGAAUUGAGAUUCUCUACUGUAUAUCGUACGAUGUAAAAUAUAACGUAUCAUCUAUCGUAUGAUGGAUGGCUACAUGUGGAUGUGCGCUCGUUACGUGCAAUCAUGUGCAGCUAUUCACCAUACGAUAGAUGAUAUGUAUUGUAUAUUAUAUUGUAUGAUGUACAGAUGAUCUGUGCCCGAUAUAUCUAUUUGUUUAUAUAUUUUAGACCCCAAUAGCAGGAGAAGGGGUACAUUUAUUUAGUGGACGG
This 263-nucleotide long non-coding RNA is filed under the name Elaeis guineensis (African oil palm). RNAcentral describes it as "long non-coding RNA (EGUI_LNC005848)". The record is from RNAcentral. Lineage: Eukaryota; Viridiplantae; Streptophyta; Magnoliopsida; Arecales; Arecaceae.